RNAcentral lists this ribosomal RNA (992 nucleotides) under Enterobacter cloacae. RNAcentral's name for it is "bacterial LSU rRNA". It matches the Rfam family "Bacterial large subunit ribosomal RNA", at positions 1939 to 2925 of the family's 2925-position model. The record is from RNAcentral. Lineage: Bacteria; Pseudomonadati; Pseudomonadota; Gammaproteobacteria; Enterobacterales; Enterobacteriaceae.
ACUAUAACGGUCCUAAGGUAGCGAAAUUCCUUGUCGGGUAAGUUCCGACCUGCACGAAUGGCGUAAUGAUGGCCAGGCUGUCUCCACCCGAGACUCAGUGAAAUUGAACUCGCUGUGAAGAUGCAGUGUACCCGCGGCAAGACGGAAAGACCCCGUGAACCUUUACUAUAGCUUGACACUGAACACUGGUCCUUGAUGUGUAGGAUAGGUGGGAGGCUUUGAAGCGUGGACGCCAGUCUGCGUGGAGCCGUCCUUGAAAUACCACCCUUUAAUGGCUGGUGUUCUAACGUAGACCCGUGAUCCGGGUUGCGGACAGUGUCUGGUGGGUAGUUUGACUGGGGCGGUCUCCUCCCAAAGAGUAACGGAGGAGCACGAAGGUUAGCUAAUCCUGGUCGGACAUCAGGAGGUUAGUGCAAUGGCAUAAGCUAGCUUGACUGCGAGAGUGACGGCUCGAGCAGGUGCGAAAGCAGGUCAUAGUGAUCCGGUGGUUCUGAAUGGAAGGGCCAUCGCUCAACGGAUAAAAGGUACUCCGGGGAUAACAGGCUGAUACCGCCCAAGAGUUCAUAUCGACGGCGGUGUUUGGCACCUCGAUGUCGGCUCAUCACAUCCUGGGGCUGAAGUAGGUCCCAAGGGUAUGGCUGUUCGCCAUUUAAAGUGGUACGCGAGCUGGGUUUAGAACGUCGUGAGACAGUUCGGUCCCUAUCUGCCGUGGGCGCUGGAGAAUUGAGGGGGGCUGCUCCUAGUACGAGAGGACCGGAGUGGACGCAUCACUGGUGUUCGGGUUGUCAUGCCAAUGGCACUGCCCGGUAGCUAAAUGCGGAAAAGAUAAGUGCUGAAAGCAUCUAAGCACGAAACUUGCCCCGAGAUGAGUUCUCCCUGACCCUUUAAGGGUCCUGAAGGAACGUUGAAGACGACGACGUUGAUAGGUCGGGUGUGUAAGCGCAGCGAUGCGUUGAGCUAACCGAUACUAAUGAACCGUGAGGCUUAACCUU